Molecule: non-coding RNA, 224 nt
Filed under: Singulisphaera sp. GP187
Lineage: Bacteria; Pseudomonadati; Planctomycetota; Planctomycetia; Isosphaerales; Isosphaeraceae
Source: RNAcentral
CCAAUCCCGUCCGGUAGAGCCGGGCCAGCAGCCGGAAGCGAGUCUUGCGUGGCGGGGGGCGACCCUCACUGCGAAGCGUAGACAGCGAGAUCAAAAGCCGUGCCAUUGAGCCCCGAAAUCAACACUUGUGGUGAGCCUUCGUCGUUGCCUGAAACGGGGGCCGCGUCGGUCCGAUUACACUUGGUCCCACAGAAUCGGUCCGUUCACGCCGGGGUCGGAGAACA